This 72-nucleotide transfer RNA is filed under the name Siobla xizangensis. RNAcentral's name for it is "tRNA-Leu". Lineage: Eukaryota; Metazoa; Arthropoda; Insecta; Hymenoptera; Tenthredinidae. The record is from RNAcentral.
ACUAUUUUGUCAGAAAAAUGAAAUAAAUUUAGAAUUUAUUAAUGUAUAAUAUUAUAAUUUAUACAAAUAGUA